AAAUUGGUUGCUUAAAAUGCAGUCGAACGAUGAUAGCCCUUCGGGGUGGAUUAGUGGGGAACGGGUGAGUAACACGUGGGCAAUCUGCCCUUCACUCUGGGACAAGCCCUGGAAACGGGGUCUAAUACCGGAUAACACUCCUGCACGCAUGGGUGGGGGUUGAAAGCUCCGGCGGUGAAGGAUGAGCCCGCGGCCUAUCAGCUUGUUGGUGAGGUAGAAGCUCACCAAGGCGACGACGGGUAGCCGGCCUGAGAGGGCGACCGGCCACACUGGGACUGAGACACGGCCCAGACUCCUACGGGAGGCAGCAGUGGGGAAUAUUGCACAAUGGGCGAAAGCCUGAUGCAGCGACGCCGCGUGAGGGAUGACGGCCUUCGGGUUGUAAACCUCUUUCAGCAGGGAAGAAGCGAAAGUGACGGUACCUGCAGAAGAAGCGCCGGCUAACUACGUGCCAGCAGCCGCGGUAAUACGUAGGGCGCAAGCGUUGUCCGGAAUUAUUGGGCGUAAAGAGCUCGUAGGCGGUCUGUCACGUCGGAUGUGAAAGCCCGGGGCUUAACCCCGGGUCUGCAUUCGAUACGGGCAGACUAGAGUGUGGUAGGGGAGAUCGGAAUUCCUGGUGUAGCGGUGAAAUGCGCAGAUAUCAGGAGGAACACCGGUGGCGAAGGCGGAUCUCUGGGCCAUUACUGACGCUGAGGAGCGAAAGCGUGGGGAGCGAACAGGAUUAGAUACCCUGGUAGUCCACGCCGUAAACGGUGGGAACUAGGUGUUGGCGACAUUCCACGUCGUCGGUGCCGCAGCUAACGCAUUAAGUUCCCCGCCUGGGAGUACGGCCGCAGGCUAAAACUCAAGGAAUUGACGGGGGCCGCACAAGCAGCGGAGCAUGUGGCUAUUCGACACACGCGAAUAUCUUACAAGGCUGACAUCGCCGGCAAGCAUCAGAGAUGGAGCCCCCUUGGGUCGGUGACCGGUGUGCAUGGCUGUCGU
Molecule: ribosomal RNA, 984 nt
Filed under: Streptomyces sp. SCAUEIF2r-1
Lineage: Bacteria; Bacillati; Actinomycetota; Actinomycetes; Kitasatosporales; Streptomycetaceae
Description: bacterial SSU rRNA
Rfam family: Bacterial small subunit ribosomal RNA
Source: RNAcentral